GAUGAACGCUAGCGGCAGGCCUAAUACAUGCAAGUCGAACGGUUGUAGCAAUACAAUAGUGGCGCACGGGUGCGUAACACGUAUGCAACCUACCUUAUAGAGGGGGAUAGCCUUUGGAAACGGAGAUUAAUACCCCAUAAUACAUUGACUUGGCAUCGAGUUAUUGUUAAAGAUUUAUCGCUAUAAGCUGGGCAUGCGUCCAAUUAGUUAGUUGGUGAGGUAAUGGCUCACCAAGACUUUGAUUGGUAGGGGAACUGAGAGGUUAAUCCCCCACACUGGCACUGAGAUACGGGCCAGACUCCUACGGGAGGCAGCAGUAGGGAAUAUUGGGCAAUGGAGGCAACUCUGACCCAGCCAUGCCGCGUGCAGGAAGAAGGCGUUAUGC
Molecule: ribosomal RNA, 385 nt
Filed under: uncultured bacterium
Lineage: Bacteria
Description: bacterial SSU rRNA
Rfam family: Bacterial small subunit ribosomal RNA
Source: RNAcentral